CGCCUUAUACUCCUACGGGAGGCAGCAGUGGGGAAUCUUGGACAAUGGGGGCAACCCUGAUCCAGCAAUGCCGCGUGAGUGAAGAAGGCCUUCGGGUUGUAAAGCUCUUUUGUCAGGGAAGAAACGGUAGUAGCUAAUCUCUAUUACUAAUGACGGUACCUGAAGAAUAAGCACCGGCUAACUACGUGCCAGCAGCCGCGGUAAUACGUAGGGUGCAAGCGUUAUUCGGAAUUACUGGGCGUAAAGCGUGCGCAGCCGGUUGUGUAAGUCAGAUGUGAAAUCCCCGGGCUCAACCUGGGAAUUGCAUUUGAGACUGGACGGCUAGAGUGUGUCAGAGGGGGGUAGAAUUCCACGUGUAGCAGUGAAAUGCGUGGAUAUGUGGGGGACUACCGAUGGCGAAGGCAGCCCCCGGGGAUAACACUGACGCUCAUGCACGAAAGCGUGGGGAGCAAGCAGGAUUAGAUACCCUGGUAGUCCACGUACCA
This 485-nucleotide ribosomal RNA is filed under the name uncultured bacterium. Its description in RNAcentral is "bacterial SSU rRNA". It matches the Rfam family "Bacterial small subunit ribosomal RNA", at positions 327 to 804 of the family's 1533-position model. The record is from RNAcentral.